RNAcentral lists this transfer RNA (107 nucleotides) under Sulfitobacter sp. EE-36. Its description in RNAcentral is "tRNA-Cys". The record is from RNAcentral. Lineage: Bacteria; Pseudomonadati; Pseudomonadota; Alphaproteobacteria; Rhodobacterales; Roseobacteraceae.
ACCGACGUUGCGCAGAACCAGCGUAUCGAUCUGCAAGAGUGAAGGGCGGCUGGCCAUAGACGGCUUCGGCAAAGGGGGGCAGCUUGGUUCGGGCCUGCGCGUUGGUC